GGCGAACGCUGGCGGCGGGCUUAACACAUGCAAGUCGAACGGAAAGGCCCUGCGUUUUUGGGGUUCUCGGUUGGCAAACGGGUAAGUAACACGUGAAUAACCUGCCCUUGACUUUGGUAUGACUUCAGGAAACUGGGGCUAAGACCAUAUAGGAUCUCCUUCUGCAGUGUGGGGGGUGGAAAUUUUAGGCGUGUGGGGCUGGACGCGCGGCUUAUCAGCUUGUUGGUUGGGUAGUGGCUUACCAAGGCUUUGACGGGUAGCCGGCCUGAGAGGGUGACCGGACACCUUGGGCCUGAGAUACGGCACAGAGUCCUAUGGGAGGCAGUAGUGGGGAAUAUUGCACAAUGGGAGGACGCCUGAUGCAGAAACGCUGCGUGCGGGAUGACGGCCUUCGGGUUGUAAAAAGCUUUCGCCUGUGACGAAGCGUGAGUGACGGUAAUGGGUAAAGAAGCACCGGCUAACUACGUG
Molecule: ribosomal RNA, 468 nt
Filed under: uncultured bacterium
Lineage: Bacteria
Description: partial 16S ribosomal RNA
Rfam family: Bacterial small subunit ribosomal RNA
Source: RNAcentral